Molecule: non-coding RNA, 583 nt
Organism: Pelobates cultripes (western spadefoot toad)
Lineage: Eukaryota; Metazoa; Chordata; Amphibia; Anura; Pelobatidae
Source: the annotation of a GenBank genome assembly
CACAUACUGAUUUGACACACUCAUUUACUGACAGACACAUAAACAUUGUCUCACACAUACUCACAAAUGAUUAUGUUGUAAUUAUGUCCAUUGUGACGGACCGCCUUGUACCCUGACCCCGGGUGCAUCCGCCAACCGAUGCACUGGCACUGUUAAAAUUCAUUUCCUGUUUUACCCUCAACACAGAGCCUCGUCUCAUGCGUGUAGGGGAGAGCUAUACCUCUUUGGAGUGCUAUAAUCACUAGAUCUUAAGAGCUGUUCUUGCUACGCUCAUUGGAGUAGGAGAGGUUUGCCCACUGGAAGCUGAAUCCUGGUCUAGGGUCCAGGGUGGGUGGAGGACGGCGAGUUCCCAGCCAAACUGUAAUGCUGGACGUGGGGACUACAGUGCUGAUGGAGUGCUUGGAGUCCUCGGUGAGCACUAGGAGCAUCGAUUGGCGGAGGCACCCCAUCGGGGUGCCAGGCGGUCCGUCACAUCCAUCCAAUCUCUCUACUUUUGGGUUACAUCAUAACCUGACUCCCAGCAUCAAUGCAGGGCAUAGGCGUGCGCAGCCUAUUGCAUUAGGGUGUGCACCCUAAAGCACAA